ACCUUUAGGGUAAUCAUUCCCUGACAAGCAUGUGGGGCAAAGCAUGGUCAUUCUGACUAUGUAUUGUGCAGGCGUAAAAACCAUGU
RNAcentral lists this non-coding RNA (86 nucleotides) under unclassified sequences. The record is from RNAcentral.